UCGCCUACGGGGCGCAGCAGUGGGGAAUAUUGCACAAUGGGCGCAAGCCUGAUGCAGCGACGCCGCGUGCGGGAUGGAGGCCUUCGGGUUGUAAACCGCUUUUGUUCAAGGGCAAGGCACGGUCUUUGGCCGUGUUGAGUGGGUUGUUCGAAUAAGCACCGGCUAACUACGUGCCAGCAGCCGCGGUAAUACAUAGGGAGCAAGCGUUAUCCGGAUUUAUUGGGUGUAAAGGGUGCGUAGACGGGAAAUUAAGUUAGUUGUGAAAUCCCUCGGCUUAACUGAGGAACUGCAACUAAAACUGAUUU
Molecule: ribosomal RNA, 305 nt
Filed under: uncultured bacterium
Lineage: Bacteria
Description: bacterial SSU rRNA
Rfam family: Bacterial small subunit ribosomal RNA
Source: RNAcentral